GCUCUGGUGGUGGAAUAGGUAGACACGCAGGACUUAAAAUCCUGUGGGCAGCAAUGCCCGUACGGGUUCGAUUCCCGUCCGGAGCA
Molecule: transfer RNA, 86 nt
Filed under: Bacteroidales bacterium
Lineage: Bacteria; Pseudomonadati; Bacteroidota; Bacteroidia; Bacteroidales
Description: tRNA-Leu
Rfam family: tRNA
About the family: Transfer RNA (tRNA) molecules are approximately 80 nucleotides in length.
Source: RNAcentral